GCUUAAUACUCUUUAUCCCAGGCACAAUUUGUGAUGUAUUUCCCAAGUGCAUUCCCACCUAUAGUUUUUCACAAUAACUUUAAUCUUCCUAAAAUACUGGUCUGAUCUGGGAACUCUCCUACUCAAAAAUCUUCAGUCUCUCCCUAUUACCUAUAGAUUUAAUGAUCAAUUAUUCAGCCUAGGCAUUUUCAAUCUUAACAUCUCCUUUUAUUCGCCUUUGUGUUCUAGCAAAAUCAAACAUCUAGUUGCCCUCUGAAUUUGACAUUCCAUAACACGGUGUAGUGGAAAGAACUGUGGAUCCAUCAUCUGAGGACUUCAGUUUAAAUUUCUGGUCUGCUAUUUUUCACCUGUGUGACUUCAGAGGAGUGGGACAGUACAUCCUACAAAGCAGAAGUCCACCAACACAGAAAAUCCUCCAAUGCAGAGACAUCAACACAGAAAUUCUCCAAUGUAGAAGAAGUGCCACACAGAAGAAUCCAAUUCAGAGACACCAACGUAGAAGUCCUCCCUCAGCAAGAGCCACCAGCUCAGCAGAAGCAGAAAAAGUGACCCAGAAUGCUCUUGCUGGC
RNAcentral lists this long non-coding RNA (569 nucleotides) under Monodelphis domestica (gray short-tailed opossum). Its description in RNAcentral is "lncRNA (ENSMODG00000042463.1)". The record is from RNAcentral. Lineage: Eukaryota; Metazoa; Chordata; Mammalia; Didelphimorphia; Didelphidae.